GACGAACGCUGGCGGCGUGCUUAACACAUGCAAGUCGAACGGAAAGGCCCUGCUUUUGUGGGGUGCUCGAGUGGCGAACGGGUGAGUAACACGUGAGUAACCUGCCCUUGACUUUGGGAUAACUUCAGGAAACUGGGGCUAAUACCGGAUAGGAGCUCCUGCUGCAUGGUGGGGGUUGGAAAGUUUCGGCGGUUGGGGAUGGACUCGCGGCUUAUCAGCUUGUUGGUGGGGUAGUGGCUUACCAAGGCUUUGACGGGUAGCCGGCCUGAGAGGGUGACCGGCCCCCUUGGGACUGGGGUACGGCCCAGACUCCUACGGGAGGCAGCAGUGGGGAAUAUUGCACAAUGGGCGGAAGCCUGAUGCAGCAACGCCGCGUGCGGGAUGACGGCCUUCGGGUUGUAAACCGCUUUCGCCUGUGACGAAGCGUGAGUGACGGUAAUGGGUAAAGAAGCACCGGCUAACUACGUG
This 468-nucleotide ribosomal RNA is filed under the name uncultured bacterium. RNAcentral describes it as "partial 16S ribosomal RNA". It matches the Rfam family "Bacterial small subunit ribosomal RNA", at positions 28 to 507 of the family's 1533-position model. The record is from RNAcentral.